Molecule: long non-coding RNA, 149 nt
Organism: Aedes aegypti (yellow fever mosquito)
Lineage: Eukaryota; Metazoa; Arthropoda; Insecta; Diptera; Culicidae
Exons: 2
Source: RefSeq, a predicted model, not a curated record
GUUUACAGGCACUCAAGUUUCUGCGUGUGUAAUUGUGGCAUUAGAAUGAAUCGAACAAAAGUCGAGGAAAAAAAAUGUGAAUUAGGAAAAAUCGACGUUACUUCUCCAACAGAAGUUGUUGAUUAUGCAGCUGGUCUGCAUCGUGAAAU